This 1237-nucleotide ribosomal RNA is filed under the name human gut metagenome. RNAcentral describes it as "bacterial LSU rRNA". It matches the Rfam family "Bacterial large subunit ribosomal RNA", at positions 1377 to 2492 of the family's 2925-position model. The record is from RNAcentral.
GGGUGAGUCGGGUCCUAAGGCGAGGCCGACAGGCGUAGUCGAAUGGAUGAACGGGUGGAUAUUCCCGUACCGACCAUGGACCGGCAAAACCGAGACGGUGAGUACUAACCUCCGCCUCGUGGUGGUUCCUUCCUUCGGGUUGGUUCCGCCGCGUGGUGUUGGGAGCGUAGCCGCAGUAGGUCAGCGCAGGGGUGACACGGAAUGGGAGCCGGCCGCGGAGGUGGUUUUCCGUGGUCAAGCACGCAGCCAGUCAUGUAGGCAAAUCCGCAUGGCGCGCAUGGCGAGGUGUGAUGAUGGGAGCCGUUAUGGCUCGAUAUCCGGUUGUCCAGGCCGUCGAGAAAAGCCUCGGCGUGAGGGCCAUGGCCGCCCGUACCCCAAACCGACACUGGUGGUCAGGUAGAGAAUACCAAGGCGAUCGAGCGAAUCCUGGUCAAGGAACUCGGCAAAUCACUCCCGUGCCUUCGGUAUAAGGGAGACCCGCUGGGGUGAACCGGCUAGCCCGGGGAGCUUUGGUGGGUGGCACAGACCAGGGGGUAGCGACUGUUUACCAAAAACACAGGUGCAUGCGAAGGCGAAAGCCGCUGUAUAUGCACUGACGCCUGCCCGGUGCCGGAAGGUUAAGAGGAUCCGUCAACUCUUCGGAGCGAAGCGGUGAAUUCAAGCCCCGGUAAACGGCGGUGGUAACUAUAACCAUCCUAAGGUAGCGAAAUUCCUUGUCGGGUAAGUUCCGACCUGCACGAAUGGCGUAACGACUUCCCCACUGUCUCGACCAGGAGCUCGGCGAAAUUGCAGUACGAGUAAAGAUGCUCGUUAAGCGCAGAAGGACGAAAAGACCCCGGGACCUUUACUAUACCUUGGUAUUGGCGUUAGGCGCGGAUUGUGUAGCAUAGGCGGGAGGCUUCGAAGCGUGGGCGCCAGCUCAUGUGGAGCCGCAAGGUGAAAUACCGCUCUGUUCUCGUUUGACGUCUAACCUCGACAAGUCAUCCUUGUCAGGGACAGUGCCUGGCGGGUAGUUCAACUGGGGCGGUUGCCUCCCAAAGAGUAACGGAGGCGCUCAAAGGUCCGCUCAGCCCGGUUGGCAAUCGGGUGUCGAGUGUAAUCGCACAAGCGGGCUUGACUGCGAGAUCGACGGAUCGAGCAGGGACGAAAGUCGGAGAUAGUGAUCCGGUGCCGGCGCACGGGCGCGGCAUCGCUCAACGGAUAAAAGGUACCCCGGGGAUAACAGGCUGAUCAUUCC